Molecule: transfer RNA, 71 nt
Filed under: Marmota monax (woodchuck)
Lineage: Eukaryota; Metazoa; Chordata; Mammalia; Rodentia; Sciuridae
Description: tRNA.Ala
Source: RNAcentral
GGGGUUGUGGCUCAGCAGUAGAGCACUCUCCUCGCACGUGCUAGGCCCUGGGUUCGAUCCUCAGCACCACA